RNAcentral lists this ribosomal RNA (918 nucleotides) under uncultured bacterium. Its description in RNAcentral is "bacterial SSU rRNA". It matches the Rfam family "Bacterial small subunit ribosomal RNA", at positions 8 to 916 of the family's 1533-position model. The record is from RNAcentral.
AGAGUUUGAUUAUGGCUCAGAUUGAACGCUGGCGGAAUGCUUUACACAUGCAAGUCGAACGGCAGCACGGGAGCUUGCUCCUGGUGGCGAGUGGCGAACGGGUGAGUAAUGCGUCGGAACGUACCGAGUAAUGGGGGAUAACGCAGCGAAAGCUGUGCUAAUACCGCAUACGCCCUGAGGGGGAAAGUGGGGGAUCGCAAGACCUCACGUUAUUCGAGCGGCCGACGUCUGAUUAGCUAGUUGGUGGGGUAAAGGCUCACCAAGGCGACGAUCAGUAGCGGGUCUGAGAGGAUGAUCCGUCACACUGGAACUGAGACACGGUCCAGACUCCUACGGGAGGCAGCAGUGGGGAAUUUUGGACAAUGGGGGCAACCCUGAUCCAGCCAUUCCGCGUGAGUGAAGAAGGCCUUCGGGUUGUAAAGCUCUUUCAGCCGGAACGAAACGGUACGCACUAAUAUUGUGUGCUAAUGACGGUACCGGCAGAAGAAGCACCGGCUAACUACGUGCCAGCAGCCGCGGUAAUACGUAGGGUGCGAGCGUUAAUCGGAAUUACUGGGCGUAAAGCGUGCGCAGGCGGAUUGUUAAGCAAGAUGUGAAAUCCCCGGGCUUAACCUGGGAAUGGCAUUUUGAACUGGCAGUCUAGAGUGUGUCAGAGGGGGGGUGGAAUUCCACGUGUAGCAGUGAAAUGCGUAGAUAUGUGGAGGAACACCAAUGGCGAAGGCAGCCCCCUGGGAUAACACUGACGCUCAUGUAUGAAAGCGUGGGUAGCAAACAGGAUUAGAUACCCUGGUAGUCCACGCCCUAAACGAUGUCAACUGGUUGUUGGGGGGAGUGAAAUCCCUUAGUAACGAAGCUAACGCGUGAAGUUGACCGCCUGGGGAGUACGGUCGCAAGAUUAGAACUCAAAGGAAUUGACGG